GCGGGCGUGGCGGAAUGGUAGACGCCGGGGACUUAAAAUCCCCUGGGCAUUGCCCGUGUGGGUUCAAGUCCCACCGCCCGCACCA
RNAcentral lists this transfer RNA (85 nucleotides) under Sphingobium sp. SCN 64-10. RNAcentral describes it as "tRNA-Leu". It matches the Rfam family "tRNA". From Rfam's summary of the family: Transfer RNA (tRNA) molecules are approximately 80 nucleotides in length. Their secondary structure includes four short double-helical elements and three loops (D, anti-codon, and T loops). Further hydrogen bonds mediate the characteristic L-shaped molecular structure. tRNAs have two regions of fundamental functional importance: the anti-codon, which is responsible for specific mRNA codon recognition, and the 3' end, to which the tRNAs corresponding amino acid is attached (by aminoacyl-tRNA synthetases). tRNAs cope with the degeneracy of the genetic code in two manners: having more than one tRNA (with a specific anti-codon) for a particular amino acid; and 'wobble' base-pairing, i.e. permitting non-standard base-pairing at the 3rd anti-codon position. Lineage: Bacteria; Pseudomonadati; Pseudomonadota; Alphaproteobacteria; Sphingomonadales; Sphingobiaceae. The record is from RNAcentral. RNAcentral also lists the same sequence under 2 other names.